Molecule: ribosomal RNA, 738 nt
Filed under: Triticum aestivum (bread wheat)
Lineage: Eukaryota; Viridiplantae; Streptophyta; Magnoliopsida; Poales; Poaceae
Description: partial small subunit ribosomal RNA
Source: RNAcentral
AUGGCGAGUGCUGACUCAUCCACGUCUAGGGUUGAUGGGCGGAAGACUAAGGAGCAGGAGGAAGGGAAGGCGAAGGCGAAGGGAGACUGGGGGUCGGAAGGGCCGAGCGAUGGCGAUAAGGUGUCACAGGAGGACUCGUUGAACGACAAGCUCAAGUACAUGAAUCUCAGGGAAGACGAGGAGGAAGAUGUGGUACUGGAGGAAGAUAUGGAAGAGUUGGAGAAGGAUGCUGAAUUCAUGGCGCUGGCUAGGGUUCAUACCAAUAAAAAGUUUCAUGGGGCCUUUUAUGGCAAUAUGAGGUCGGCGUGGAACUUGGCACAGGAAGUAGAGUUUAGGGCCAUCGAGGACAAUCUGUUUUCGGUUCAGAUGAGUUGCUUGGGAGAUUGGGAGAGGGUGAUGAACGAAGGACCAUGGAUUUUCAGGAACUGCCCUGUUCUGCUGGCUCCAUACGAUGGGUGGUCGGAUGUGAACGAGGUUGACCUAUAUACUUACCAGGCGCGGAUGAGGGUGAUGGGGUUAAAGGAGAAAAUGAGGUCUGCGAGUAUUGCUAGGCAACUAGCGAAGAAGGCAGGGGAAGUGGAGCGAGUGGAUGAGCGAUCUGUCAAGGGGCAAGGUGGAGGAAUUAGGGUGAGACUCAUUUUGGAUGUGCGGAAACCUCUAACAAGAUGUGUGAGUCUUACGCUAAGGCAGAAGAAGGUGUAUUUUGAGUUUGAAUAUGAGAAGAUGCCGGUGUUUUGA